GGGCCUAUAGCUCAGGUGGUUAGAGCGCAUCCCUGAUAAGGAUGAGGUCGGAGGUUCAAGUCCUCCUAGGCCCA
RNAcentral lists this transfer RNA (74 nucleotides) under Actinomycetes bacterium. RNAcentral's name for it is "tRNA-Ile". It matches the Rfam family "tRNA". From Rfam's summary of the family: Transfer RNA (tRNA) molecules are approximately 80 nucleotides in length. Their secondary structure includes four short double-helical elements and three loops (D, anti-codon, and T loops). The record is from RNAcentral. RNAcentral also lists the same sequence under 2 other names. Lineage: Bacteria; Bacillati; Actinomycetota; Actinomycetes.